Molecule: non-coding RNA, 28 nt
Filed under: Mus musculus (house mouse)
Lineage: Eukaryota; Metazoa; Chordata; Mammalia; Rodentia; Muridae
Source: RNAcentral
UCCAACCAGAGUCUGUGCAGCGUGGGUC